UAUCAAUCAUUAAAGCUUUAGUUCCUUAUAUCUGGCUUAUGCUUGCAUAAUUUUUUGUGGGGUUCUCUUUAAUGUGGAUACUGUUUUGUUUGUAUAAUUAUAACAACUCAAGCAAGUUCCAAGUUGUACGUCGCCUUUCUUAGCUGUUAAUAUAUAUAUAUGAAAAUGUGAUUUAUGUAUGUAUGACAUAUUGAUUCAUGGUGAUACCAUAAACUGAUUGCUUUGUCAUGUUUAAAUCUCAUAUGAUGUUGAUGAGAUUGUAAUUUUAUAGAUUGAAAGAUGUUAGAUGUCACCCUGAGCUUUAGAAAGAGGUUGGAUCCAAUAUUGUAAGGCACCACUCAUAUUCAUCCAAGAUUGCUUUAGAGGAAUACAUUGUUGAAGCACGCAUGAUUAUCAACAUUUAUUAUAUAUCACUUGAGCAUUUUGGCUGACCUUUCAAUUUCUUCGAUCCCAAUAUUUAUGAUCAGUAAUUAUCAGGAGUUCAAGAAUUAGAAUAGGUCAACAGGUUGUAUCAUUGCUUUCGGAUUGGUAAUAUUUGAGGAGUUCCAUCAGUGAUUUCAAACUUUAGUAACUCAUAAUCUUGAAAGCUUAGAGGCAGCAAACUGAGCCUAACAGUUAAUGAUCUAUUUUAGAGUUCCUCAAAUUGCAUCAUUUAAAUAUGGAUUCAGAAACAUUGUGUGCAGGAAAUAAUUAGCCUAUCUUUCAUCUAUAUAUUUAUAUCCUUUCAGGUUCUUCAGCAUUGAGGCUAAUUAUGAAUAUUGAAUGAUGAAAGCUUCUUUACUUUGUUCAGAACUUAAUAAUUUGAUUAUUUCAUCAUCGUUGUGCAUCUGUUUAUUUAGCAUCAGAAAUUUAACUGAAGUACUCCAACUGAAGUACUCUACUGUUGACUAGAAGAAAUGAUUCUGCUCUUCUUAAUGUUCCUCCAAGUGUACUUACUUUGACUAGUAGCAGUGAUCCUUGCUACAGCGAUGCUUAUCAUUUGACAGAUUCUAAUGACGGAAGGAUCCCUCUGCACCUUAAGGAUACCUCCAGCUAAUAAUGAAAAGCUCUAGACUCAAAGGGAAGGUCAGAGAAGAGUGUUGUUAACAAAUGACCUAGACGAACAAUUACAGGCUAUGUUGCAUAUAUUUAUGAUAAAUAACUAGAAGAUUUGCCUUAAGAUCUUUUAUAAGAACUGUUUCAGGUAUUAAAUAUGACAGAAAUUGAACUAAUUAGCCGUGUGGAUAUCAAAGUAGGUUUAUCUGGUCCGCUGGUUUACAUGGAUGGAUAGCUUCAAGCAGUUCGCCAGCUGCGGAGUCUUGCUUCACAGCCUUCCAUCAUCACAACCAAUCGACUUAAUGAAACAGAUCACUACAAGAAAAACACAGGUUUGAAUAUCCAGCCGAAAGGGUCGAAGAAAUUAUUAAAAUUAGAGUAUGAAAAAAGAAAUGGAAGAGGACGACUAAGGAUGUGGUAGCUGAGUGUUUUGCGUGGGAUAGAGGAAGAAGAAUUUGACAGGAAAAAAGAUGAUAAGGUAAGGCAGUCCGGGCCUCCGGGGUGCAACUAUAUGGUGGCCAAAAGUAGAUAAUAGCAAUAGCAAGAGCUUUAAUCAGGGACCCAAAGAUCCUUUUGCUUGAUGAGGCUAUAUGUGCAUUAGAUGCACAAUCUGAAAAGAUGGUGCAAGAAACUCUGGAUCAGGCUUCAGUUGGAAGAAGAACGAUAGUCAUUGCUCACCGGCUUGCUGUGUCCAUAGAGCUGGUAACAUAGCAAUUCUUCAGUCUGGAAGGCCUACCGGAGAAUGGUUCAAAUGCAAAAAACAAACCAGGAUGACAAAUCUAGCACUUACUACAACUCAGAAGGAGCUACAAACAUUCUAAAAAAAGAAACAUGAAAUUAUCAAAGGUUGCAAGGAACAAGUAGUCACCAAAGAUUUGUCUCAAUUCGAGAUUGUAUUUUUAACCGUUAACAUGAUCCUGUUUAAAUUAUAAGUAUGAUUUAUUAUAUUUAUAUAAUGAAAUUAUUAUUACGAAA
This is a long non-coding RNA of Daucus carota subsp. sativus, 2010 nucleotides long. RefSeq lists it as uncharacterized. The transcript is spliced from 5 exons. Lineage: Eukaryota; Viridiplantae; Streptophyta; Magnoliopsida; Apiales; Apiaceae. The record is from RefSeq and is a predicted model, not a curated record.